AGUAAUUCCUAGUAAUUUGAAUAUAGUUGCAGGACACAUAAUUCCAACACAGGGGAGGUCCAAGAAGCCCGCGGUGGGGGUGGAGCAGCCAGGGGGGCCAAGAAAGCCGGCCGGGGCGGGCGCGGAGAGUGCUGAUGUGGCGGCCGUGGGCGGGGCGGCGGCGGCCAAGGCCAGGGAGGACGAGGUUGCAUCCAUCGGCGAGAAGCGGCCGAUCCACCUGCGUGCCGUCACUGCUCACAUCCUUCCCCUAAUUUCUUUGCUUUCUCGAUCUGCAGCAGCAGCAGCAGCGUCUCCAUGGAUGCGGCGGCGUGACGGCUUCCAGGCACGGAUCCCUCCUCCGCCUCCAUCCUCCACCUCUCUGGUCGCCCGGUUGCAACGGUGAGCUCUCCCUUUCCCCGACUACUCUCCUCUCUCACAUCACAUCAGGUCGAAUCGGACCCUUGAUUUCUUUUUCUGUUGAGCAGCUGCAGCUCCUUCCUACCUUCCAUGGACGAGCUCGACGGAGACGCCGUCCAGCCCGACCAUGGCCACGACUACGCCACGCACAAGGUCCCUUCCUGCUCCCCCACCUUCUUCCAUGGUUCAAGACGCUACAUAGAUUGCUGCUGCUGUUUGUCAAAUUCAUUCCACUGAAGCCAUCUACUUCGUCCACCAACCCGCCCCGAAAGGCAGUUAUUGUGAAUUGAUGUUCGCACUGAGGCCAGAGGCGAGAGGCGAGGGCACAAAGGUCGGCGGCAAGUGCUCAGGAGAGAAGAGGAAGGCAGUGGUGGCUGCGGUUUACACGAGAGCGAGGUGACCUGCCCAGAAAGGUAGUUACAGUGAAUUGAUGUUCAUAUGAACUUCAAUGCUGUGACGUUUUUAUUAGAUCUGAGUUGCAAUCCUCAAUUUUUUUAGGUUUGAGUAGCAAUGCUCCUGCUCUACUAGCUAUGACAUUUUCCAUGUUUUUUCUUCUAAUAUCGUAUAGCCUCCAUGCUUAUGGGUUCAACUUGACAAGCUUUUUUUCAUCUUACAUCCUGUUUUAAGCUCUGUUUAUGGUUGAUUUCUGCCAUGUUUAUGGAGGGAGAGGACGCCAAGUACUAGGAGAAGGAUCAGUUUGUUAGGAAUAAGCAACUUGUAUUCCCAUGAGGCCAUAGGCCGAUAUAUAUAUACAUGUACAGGUGUGGAACAUAUGCAGGAAACCCCUCAUACAAUAAGAUAAAUAUAAAGGGGUAUAUGACUUAUAUUAUAACUCUAACACCCCCCCUCAAACUCAUGGUGGAUGAACAACACUGAGUUUGGAGAGAUAAAAGCCAUGUUGUGCUCUAGUCUGUGCCUUUGUCAGGAAAUCCGCCAACUGUAACUCGGAAGGCACAUACUGAAGAGCAAUAACCUCAUCCUGCACAGCAGCGCGCACAUAGAAAGCAUCAACACCAAUAUGCUUGGUGAGCUCAUGCUUCACAGGAUCGCGUGCAAUGCUGAUAGCACCUGUACUGUCAGAUAGAAGCAGAGUCGGUGUAGUGACAGAAACACCAAAAUCCUGAAGUAACCACCGUAACCAAGUCACCUCUGCCGUCAAAAGAGCCAUUGCUCGCAACUCAGCCUCGGCACUCGAACGGGAAACUGCAAGCUGUUUCUUCGUCUUCCAGGCAAUGAGAGAACCACCAAGAAAAACACAGUAAGCAGAAAGUGAACGGCGAUCGGAAGGAUCACUAGCCCACGUAGCAUCAGAAUAGGCCUGGAGCUGUAAAGAACUGGAGCGAGGAAAGAAUAGACGGUGAGAGAUCGUGCCUCGAAGAUAUCGAAGAAUACGAAGGAGAUGACUAUAGUGAACCAAGGUGGGGGCAGAGACAAACUGACUCAGAAUAUGAACCGGAUAAGAGAUGUCCGGACGAGUGACAGCUAGAUAGACAAGACUGCCAACAAGAUGACGAUAACGCGUCGGAUCAGGGAGAGGAUCACCAUCAGUAGCACGGAGGUGAACAUUGAGCUCCAUAGGAGUCUCAACAAUGCGCUCGUCAGUAAGAGCAGCACGAGCAAGAAGAUCCUGGAUAUACUUUUCCUGGGAUAUAAAAAAGCCAUCAGAGGUAGAAGAGACUUCAAUCCCAAGAAAGUAGCGAAGAGGUCCAAGAUCAGACAUAAGAAACUGCUCACUAAGACGGGCCUUUACAAAGGCAAUAUACUCGGGAUCAUCCCCCGUGAUGAUCAUGUCAUCAACAUAAAGAAGAAGAAGAGUCCGACCACGAGGAGAAAGGUGAAUAAACAAUGCGGGAUCAUGAGCACUUGCUAAAAAACCAGCAGCAGUGAUCACAGAGGCAAAGCGCUCAAACCAGGCGCGGGGGGCUUGCUUAAGGCCAUAGAGAGAGCGACGAAGACGACAUACCAUGCCAUCAGGAACAGAAUACCCAGGUGGUGGCUGCAUGUACACCUCCUCACGCAACUCACCAUUAAGAAAGGCAUUCUUAACAUCAAGCUGAGAUAUAGACCAGUGGCGUGCAGAGGCAACGGCAAGAAGGGUACGAACAGUGGUCAUAUGAGCCACAGGAGCAAAAGUCUCGUCAUAAUCACGACCAUGCUCCUGCUGAAAACCACGAGCCACAAGACGAGCUUUGUGACGCUCAAGAGAACCAUUGGAGCGAGUCUUAACCUUGUAGACCCACUUACAAGUGAUCGGACGAACUCCGGGAGGAAGAGAAACAAGAUCCCAAGUACCAGUGCGUUCAAGAGCAGCAAUCUCCUCUGCCAUCGCAAACUGCCAUUCAGGAUGAACAACAGCCUGAUGGUAAGAAGUCGGCUCAAGAACAGCAGCACCAGCAGUGGGAAAUCCAAAGCGAUCAACAGGCGGACGAGGACGAGAACGCAAACCAUAAGUAGGCUGAGAGAAAGAUGACGACCCAUCCACGGAGGCAUCAACUGGUCGUGGACGACGAGUGUAAUGUUGAGGAAGAGAUGGAAUAAUAGAAGGAGGAAUCGGCAAGGUAGAAUCAGGGGGUGACGACGAAGAAGUCACCGGAGAUGAAGGUGUAGAAUCCGGUGACAAACUGGGAGAGGAAGUCACCGGAGAUGAAGGUGGAGAACCCGGUGACAAGCUAGACGAGGAGACCGGGGAGGAAGGUGACUGCAAGUCAACGAGAUGUGGAGAAGGAGAGGAAGUGGAACGGAGAGGUACAGUGUCGGCGAGGGUGAUAGGUGUGUCAGGAAAAGUGAGGAAAGAGAUAUCCUGCACUGAAAAAGUCGAGGAAGAUGGGCGUGGGUAGAAAGGACGAGACUCGUCAAAAGUCACAUCUCGAGAGAUACGCAUCCGACGACCAAUAGGAUCCCAACAACGAUAGCCCUUAUGCUCAUCACUGUAGCCUAAGAAAACGCACUCAACAGACUGAGCAGUCAGUUUGGUGCGUUCGCGAGGGGCAAGAAGAACAUAGCAAACACAACCAAACAAGCGAAGCAUCGAAUAAUCGGGAGAACGAUCAAAAAGUCGCUCGAAAGGAACACCACCCUGUAGAGCAGCGGAAGGCUGUAUAUUGAUAAGAUAGGUGGAUGUGGAGACGGCCUCAGCCCAAAAAUGAGGCGGGAGAGAGGCAGCAAUCAUCAAUGCACGAGCCGUCUCAAGAAGAUGUCGAUGCUUUCGCUCAGCCACACCAUUCUGAGCAUGAGCACCAGGACAAGAGAAUUGAGAGAGAGUCCCGUGUUCAGCAAGAACACCACGCAACAUCUUAGAGAUAUACUCGCCAGCGGAGUCAGCACGAAAAACACGAAUGGGUGAAGAGAACUGAGUAUGAACCAUGGCAGCAAAACGCUUAUAAAUAGACAACACCUCAGAACGAGAAGUCAUGAAAUAAAGCCAUGUGUAACGAGAGAAAUCAUCUAUGAAAAUAAUAUAGUAUUUAUGACCACCUUUCGAAGCGAAAGGGGCCGGACCCCAUACAUCAGAAUGGACUAAAUCGAAAGGACGCUUAGACACGGACUCACUAUGGGAAUAUGGUAACUGAAUCUGCUUACCAAGACGACAACCCUGACACUCUAAAGAGACAUCUCCUGAGACAGACCCCAGAAGGCCUCGACGAACUAAAGAAGACAACCGAGAUCCACACAGAUGACCAAGUCGAUGAUGCCACUGCUGGAAGGAACCAGUGACAGAGGCAACAGAAGCGGAAGAACUGGCGAUGGUGGUAGCAGCAGAAGGAACAUGAAGCCAGUCCAACUCCCAAAGACCCUGAGAAUCACGGCGGCGAGGGCCAGCCCCAACCAGAGUGUGCGUGUGACGGUCCUGAACAGAACAAGAGUCAACGUCAAGGAUGACACGACAACCAGAAUCCGUAAGUUGACCAGCAGAAAACAAAUUCAUGGUAAGUUGAGGAACAUGAGCAACAUCAGGAACAGAAUAAGAAGGAGUAGUAAGAUUGCCUCUACUAGCAACAGAAAGUGGAGUACCAUCAGCAGUGAAGACAUGAAUAGGAGAAUCCAGUGAUCGAAGAGAGGACAAAGUGGAGGAAUGAGAAGACAUAUGAAAAGAAGCUCCAGAGUCCAGAACCCAUGGGGAUGUACCUGACUGUGUAGAGGGUGAUUGCUCAGUGCGGGAAGCAUCAGUCACAGAACCGGCAGUACCCGUCGAGGAAGAACCUGAAGCCGCGAGCAGACGCUUAAGUCUCAGAAUAUCCUGCUCAGUCAAAGCAAUGGCUGAAGCUGUCGAGGUAGACGACGAAGUCCCUGAAGAUGAUGAUCGAGCCUUGCGCAUGUGUUUCUUCUUCGUGUAGCACUGAGACUCAAGAUGACCAUCAUUGUUGCAAUAGGCGCAGUGUGGAUGGGGGCGACCGGAGCCUCCAGAAGGAGUGGGCAAGAGCGGCGGAGCACUCGAGCGAGAAGUGGUCGAUGGAGCAGGUGGCGGAGGAGCACGAGUAGCAAGCACAGAGGGAACCUCCAGCAAACCAGCACCACGUAAGCGAGUCUCCUCUGCACGAAUCUCAGAAAGCGCCUCCAUGAGAGAAAUACGGCCACGAGCAAACAACUGAGCACGCCGGGGCUCAAACUCCUUACGAAGCCGAGACAAGAACUCAUAGACGCGAUGAAACUCCAAAUUGGCCUGGACAGCCUGGCAACAGGGGCAGGUACGACACCCAGCACUACGGAGAGAAUCAAGCUGACGCCAGAUAGCAGAACUCUGUGCAUAGAAGUCAUCAACAGUAGAGUCACCCUGCUGAAGGGCAUGCUCCUGGCGGAUCACAGAGAGGUAUAAGGCAUCACCAGAGGGCUGAUAGCGCUCACGAAGACGGGUCCACAUCUCAAAGACAGUAGAAAGACCCAGAAAUUCAGAAGCAAACUGAGGCAGAACACUAGCAGUGAGAACAGCUGCAGCACGGGCAUCAUCAUCAAGCCACUGGGUGUAAGCAGACAGAGCACCAUGAUACAACUGAAGAGCCUCCUCAUAAGCCAAAACCCUCUCAUCAUAAGCACGAUCAGCAACCUCAUCAGCAACCUUAGCCGCAUCCUUGGCAGCCUGAUUAGCAUCCGUAGGAAGAACCGAUGGAGUUGGCGGGGUAGGGGCCACCGGAGGAACUGGACGUGGCGGACAACAGACCUCGCCAGAAAGAACACCCCAAAGACGGAUGCCACGCAUGUGAAUGCGCAUGAAGCCAGUGAACUCGGUGUAGUUAGUACCAUCAAAGAUCACCGGACAGCGAGGAACAGCAACAUAACCCGAUGCAGCAGACAUUUUUUUUAAGAUCCGAUGAGAACGACCGGAUCGGAAUCAGGCGCUGCUACGGGAGCAGCGAGAGCCGGCGGGAGAGGAGAUCAAGGGCGCCUGCAGGACGAGCCCCCUGGGCCGAUCUGACGCCCUGGGCGCCUGCGGGAAGGGCGGCUGGGUGGCGCCCGAGCGGGACAGGCCAGCAGCCGAGCUCCCUGAGCGUCGGCUGGACGGGAGCGGGACGGGCGGCUGCAGGACCGGCUGGAGCAGCGCUGCAGGAACCGAUCCGGCUGGAGGAGCUCGAUCAGGAGGAAUCGAUCGAAGACAGGAAGGGAUUGAAGCCAGCGGGACCUGCGGGAGCAGAUCGAAGCGGGCGGGAGCUGGAGAUCGAUCGGGGCGAGAUCGAGCGGGAGGCUUCGAGCGGCCCUAGUUGGAGAUCGGUCGGGAUGUAGAGAGGAUCAAACGCACGAGUUGCAGCGUGCAAAAAAAUUGACCUAGCUCUAAUACCAUGUUAGGAAUAAGCAACUUGUAUUCCCAUGAGGCCAUAGGCCGAUAUAUAUAUACAUGUACAGGUGUGGAACAUAUGCAGGAAACCCCUCAUACAAUAAGAUAAAUAUAAAGGGGUAUAUGACUUAUAUUAUAACUCUAACACAGUUUAGCAAGUACAGGCUGUAAUUAUCUCGUGAUUAUGGGUAGAUGCCUCCUUUAUUUAGUUACCAGAGUUGUUCACUAUUGAAUAUGCAAAUUCAGCAUCCUUUAUAUAAUGGGAUCUUAUGAACUUUUUUUGAAGAUUGCUGAGAAGCGCAACCUUUUGAUCUUCGAGAACCGCAAGUUUGCUGACAUUGAAAACACAUUCAUUAUGCGAGACGAAUGGUGAGAAAUGUGCUAUUCCCUAUCCUUACAUUCUAUUUGCAUAUUCGCGUAGUGUGCUUAGUUUUUUUCCUUUCAAGAUGAAUAUUCUACACAUGAGAGCAAUAUACUUGGUAUUAUUGAUGCUCAUAUAAUUCCUGGACCUGGAAUUGUUGAUGGCUUGAGGCUUAAAGUAUGUUAUGUGUUGCAUACCUAAUAAAUAUUAGCAAGUUAAUGUUGCAGCUUGACAGAUGCUGCGAUAACUUCUCCUUUUUCUGUUUGUUAAUAUCCACUUGGAACUGAGCAGCCAUGAUCCGUAUUUCCUCUGUCUAGCUACGAGAUGCAUGCAGUUCGUUAUUGUGUAUCGUGUGCUAAAACAUUGAUUAUUUGACAAUGAACACAUGGCAAUGCCUUAACUAUUCAACUUGCCUAGAUAUUUUGCUUUUUGUAUGUUGAGGGGAGAUGGAUAUGGCCUCGGGACUAAACGCACAGACCACAUGAAGUGAUCUGAUGGUUUGGAUUUUUGCUAUGUGCCUAUUUGCUUAAGAAAAUACUUGACUGGAGAGCAAAUUCCAAAUGGAGCUGCAUUUUCAUGCGUUGGGGGCAGAAGUAGAAUAAAUAGUAAAUCUUGAUCUUAUGGAGUGAUGAUUUACAUUCUUUGUGUGAUGAGAUAAUACACAACCUAGGUGUUAUUUAACGUGCUGUUGUAGAACAACUGACUAUCAUGAUCUGUAGUUUCUGAAUAUUGAGUCCUUGAGUUUUGGGGAAUGGUGCGCUCUAAUUUGGAAGUGGUAUUUCCUAAUGUAUUCACACAGUUAGAUAUCAUAUUAUAUAUUUUUCCUCUUACUUGAAAUUUCUGCUAUGUAAAGCUAGGUUGUCUUUGAUUCGUUGUGUGUUAGGUAUUGAACAGACUGGCUUGUUUGGCUAACCUUCCUUUACUUUUAUUUUGCAGGCUCUAGAAUCACUAAGGUUGCUCCUUCUCUGUUCCUUUGCUCCUUCCACCGUGAGGUGCAGGUGCCGCUCCGCAAGGUGCUCGAGCUCCCGAGGUCUACAUGGGCGCCUGCAAGUGGGACGAGCUGCCCUACACGCGCGUGGCGUCCACGGCCAUGCGCCAGUACAAGGAGGCGUCCUGGAUGCAAGAUUUUAAAUAGCGUCCGCUACCUCCGCUAUUGCGGCUGCAAUAGCGGUAGUGUCACCCUGCCACUAUUAGUUUAAGGUUGCGUUAGAAAAUAGCGUGUUGUCAUGAUGCGGGCGCAAUAUCACUUGUUAGACCGCUAUAUCAUCCGCUAUUCGUAAUAUCGCCCGCUAUAUACGUCCUUAUUAUUCUAUUGUGUAAUCUAUUUUGGUAAAUGUGUCUUGCUUGCAUGGUUGCACGACCAAAUAUUGUUCAAUUAUAGUUUAUAUUCCUAUAUAAAUGAUGAUUUCUCAAAUUAAGUGUCAUAUUUUUGUCAAUGGCCUAGACAUAUACACAACAAUCUCAAAUUUAUGAGUGUUUUUUAAAAAUUGGCUAUGUGGACAUAGCGCCCGCAAUAUCGCCUGCUAUCCGCAUUUUGCUAUGUGGG
This 8070-nucleotide long non-coding RNA is filed under the name Triticum aestivum (bread wheat). Its description in RNAcentral is "long non-coding RNA (TAES_LNC006555)". The record is from RNAcentral. Lineage: Eukaryota; Viridiplantae; Streptophyta; Magnoliopsida; Poales; Poaceae.